AUUGAACGCUGGCGGCAGGCCUAACACAUGCAAGUCGAGCGGAUGAAGGGAGCUUGCUCCUGGAUUCAGCGGCGGACGGGUGAGUAAUGCCUAGGAAUCUGCCUGGUAGUGGGGGAUAACGUCCGGAAACGGGCGCUAAUACCGCAUACGUCCUGAGGGAGAAAGUGGGGGAUCUUCGGACCUCACGCUAUCAGAUGAGCCUAGGUCGGAUUAGCUAGUUGGUGGGGUAAAGGCCUACCAAGGCGACGAUCCGUAACUGGUCUGAGAGGAUGAUCAGUCACUCUGGAACGGAGGCACGGUCCAAUCUCCUACGGGAGGCAGCAGUGGGGAAUAUUGGACAAUGGGCGAAAGCCUGAUCCAGCCAUGCCGCGUGUGUGAAGAAGGUCUUCGGAUUGUAAAGCACUUUAAGUUGGGAGGAAGGGCAGUAAGUUAAUACCUUGCUGUUUUGACGUUACCAACAGAAUAAGCACCGGCUAACUUCGUG
Molecule: ribosomal RNA, 484 nt
Filed under: uncultured bacterium
Lineage: Bacteria
Description: partial 16S ribosomal RNA
Rfam family: Bacterial small subunit ribosomal RNA
Source: RNAcentral